The sequence is a ribosomal RNA, 1545 nucleotides long. It matches the Rfam family "Bacterial small subunit ribosomal RNA".
UUUGUUGGAGAGUUUGAUCCUGGCUCAGGACGAACGCUGGCGGCGUGCUUAACACAUGCAAGUCGAACGGACCGCUACCGCUUGCGGUGGUUGGUUAGUGGCGAACGGGUGAGUAACACGUGAGUAAUCUGCCCCAGACUUUGGGAUAAGCACUCGAAGGGGUGUGUAAUACUGGUUAUUCUGCAUGGGUCGCAUGGUCUGUGUGGGAAAGGAUUUUUCUGGUUUGGGAUGGGCUCGCGGCUUAUCAGCUUGUUGGUGGGGUAAUGGCUUACCAAGGCUUUGACGGGUAGCCGGCCUGAGAGGGUGACCGGUCACAUUGGGACUGAGAUACGGCCCAGACUCCUACGGGAGGCAGCAGUGGGGAAUAUUGCACAAUGGGCGAAAGCCUGAUGCAGCGACGCCGCGUGAGGGAUGAAGGCCUUCGGGUUGUAAACCUUUUUCGCCCUUGAACAAGCCGCGUUUUGUCGUGGUGAGGGUAUGGGGUAAAGAAGCACCGGCUAACUACGUGCCAGCAGCCGCGGUAAUACGUAGGGUGCGAGCGUUGUCCGGAAUUAUUGGGCGUAAAGGGCUUGUAGGUGGCGUGUCGCGUCUGUCGUGAAAUGUGCUGGCUUAACUGGUGCAGUGCGGUGGGUACGGGCAUGCUUGAGUGUGGUAGGGGAGAUUGGAAUUCCUGGUGUAGCGGUGGAAUGCGCAGAUAUCAGGAAGAACACCGGUGGCGAAGGCGGAUCUCUGGGCCAUUACUGACGCUGAGGAGCGAAAGCAUGGGGAGCGAACAGGAUUAGAUACCCUGGUAGUCCAUGCUGUAAACGUUGGGCACUAGGUGUGGGGACUCGUUAGGGUUUCUGCGCCGUAGCUAACGCAUUAAGUGCCCCGCCUGGGGAGUACGGCCGCAAGGCUAAAACUCAAAGGAAUUGACGGGGGCCCGCACAAGCGGCGGAGCAUGCGGAUUAAUUCGACGCAACGCGAAGAACCUUACCAAGGCUUGACAUAUAGCAGAAGCCUCUAGAGAUAGAGGUCUCUUUGGACACUGUUAUACAGGUGGUGCAUGGUUGUCGUCAGCUCGUGUCGUGAGAUGUUGGGUUAAGUCCCGCAACGAGCGCAACCCUUGUCCUAUGUUGCCAGCACGUUAUGGUGGGGACUCAUGGGAGACUGCCGGGGUUAACUCGGAGGAAGGUGGGGAUGACGUCAAAUCAUCAUGCCCCUUAUGUCUUGGGCUUCACGCAUGCUACAAUGGUCAGUACAGAGGGUUGCGAUACCGUGAGGUGGAGCGAAUCCCUUAAAGCUGGUCUCAGUUCGGAUCGAAGUCUGCAACUCGACUUCGUGAAGGUGGAGUCGCUAGUAAUCGCAGAUCAGCUACGCUGCGGUGAAUACGUUCUCGGGCCUUGUACACACCGCCCGUCACGUCACGAAAGUUGGUAACACCCGAAGCCCAUGGCCUAACCCUUUUGGGGGGGAGUGGUCGAAGGUGGGACUGGCGAUUGGGACGAAGUCGUAACAAGGUAGCCGUACCGGAAGGUGUGGCUGGAUCACCUCCUUUCUAAGGAG